AGGAAAAGAAUUUUGAAAUUCCAAUUGAAGAAAAAUAAGUUUAUCAUUAAAAUGUUUUACAAAGUAUUUAAUCCAACAAAACGCGGAAAAAUUGGCGGGAAAAUGUUUUUCUUCCUCCCAAACAAUUAGCUCGGAAUUAUGUAAACUGUAGCUGGGGAAGUUUAGCUGAAAUAUACAUAGUUUUUUUUUAAGCGGGAAUAGUAAUUUAGCACUAAAAAAUUUUAAAAACUUUCUUUGGUUGGAUCUGUGUUUUUCAUGUUAAAAGCCCUUCCGUCAAAAAUCAGCCAGGAAGUGAGUUUUUCACUUUUAACUUCUCGUUUUCACUAGCCGAUGGUUGUUUUGACGCGUAUGCUAUUUUUUGUUUGUUUUUAGUUUAUUAAAGAAUGAAUUUCUCGUCUCUCCUUGUCUCUGCAAAAGGAAGACUCAUUAAAUUUGUCAAAACGAGAGAUGGUGAGUGUUAAAUGGGUUGUUAGAAUUGCAGCUCAGUUGUUCGAUAAACCGCCGCAGCUAACAAUAUAUUUGGGUGAACAUAAAUCUUACCUUGGGUUGCCAGUGUUAUUGAUAUGUUGGUUCUGACUAAGACUCCGACUUUUUCCUUAUUUCAGCUUGGUUUAUAGAGAUAGUCUCAGCGAAAGAGGAAUCAUUUAAUUUGAUAAAACUUAGAGAUAAUGGUGUUAAAUGCAUUGUCAGAAUUGCAUCCCAGUUGUUUGAUAAAACGCCACAGAGAAUAAUAUAUUUGGUUGAAGUGAAAUCUGACCGUUGGUUGCGGGUGUUAUUGAUACGUUGCUUCUGACCUUCUGUUCUACUAAAAAUGUACUAUGAUUCUUACCGUUCCGAAAAAAAUCUGAAUGAUUUCAUGUCUUUUCUUAUUUCAAUUUGGUCUUAGAGAUUGUCUCUGCAAAAAGGAAGACGCAUUAAAUUUGAUUAAACUAGAGAUAGUUGGUGUUAAAUGAGUUGUUUGGAUUGCAUCCAGUUGCUUGAUAAAAAGUCGGAGCGAACAAUAUGUUUUGGUUGAAGUGAAAUCUAUGGUUGCAGAUGUUAUUGAUCUGUUGGUUGUGUUCUACUAAAUCAGAAUGAUCUUCUUUCCUUAUUUCAGCUCGCCUAUAGUGAUUACUUACAUGCUCCCGUACAUGUGAUUUACUUUAUGCUCUUAUCUUAAUUACCUAUAACAGAUGCACAUUAGUAUUGACGAGUAAAGUAAAUUAGUUGGAACUUAACAACAUUAUAUUUAUUCCUAUUGAAGCAGGUUGGACAUAUUUUUUGUCUUUUGAUUCUAUUCCCAGGUUUUACAAAAGGGGGAGCUUCCUAUAUUGUAGAAAUGCAUUGCAGAAGACGCAAAGAUGGUGUCAAGUCAAUUAGUAACCCAAAGAAGGUGUUUAUGGAAGAUAAAAAGGCUUCAGCUCCAUUUAUGUGGAGAUGGCUGGAGUUCGGAAAGUAACUCAAAAGUGGUUUCUGCUGAGUUCUAGGGUUUUGAUGGCGGAAACAUUGUCCUCGUAGUAGCUCUGAACUUAGCUCCCGGAGAAGGAGAACCACUAUGAUCCACUUCCUUCAGAUCUUGAUACUUGUAAAACCAAGCACAUGUUACAUAGUAACCAAAGUUCAAUACUCCCCC
Molecule: long non-coding RNA, 1612 nt
Organism: Nicotiana tabacum (common tobacco)
Lineage: Eukaryota; Viridiplantae; Streptophyta; Magnoliopsida; Solanales; Solanaceae
Source: RefSeq, a predicted model, not a curated record